ACUGUGAUGCCGACUAUGCUGGAGAUUGUGGGACAUGACGAUCAACUACGGGAUACUUCUUCAGUCUUGGAUCUGGAGCUAUAUCAUGGUGCGUAAGAGACAACCAACUGUGGCAUUAUCCAGUACUGAAGUAGAGUAUCGAUCAGCAGCAAUGGCAGCACAAGAAAGCACCUGGCUCAAGCAGUUGAUGGAGGAUCUUCACCAGCCAACAGAAUACCAAGACCAAACACAUAGAAGUUCAUUAUCACUACAUAAGAGAAAAGGUCCUUGAGGGUGAUAUCAUAAUGGUGCCUACCAAGAUAGAGGAGCAGACUGCCGACAUAGUCACAAAAAGUCUCAACAAAGCAAAGUUCGAGAAGUUUCGAGAGGCACUCGGCAUGAUCUGCAAGACAACAUUGAAAAGAUGUUUGCCUUUAGGGGGAGUGUUGAGAGAAGACAAGUCAAUCUUCUAGAGUGAUUCACACUAUGCAAAAACAACAUAUUUACAAUGGAGUAGUCUAGACUUGGUAAUAAAAUAAAUUAGAUAAUAUUGUAAUAUUUAGAAAAUCUCUAGAAUGGGAGACACUUGUCACAACCUCAUGGUCCCCCCUUGCCUAUAAAUAGAGCCCCCUCUUUUGCCAUGCCAUUCAUCUUAUGAGCAUGGUAGAUGUGUGGUGCUAGGAAGUAGUGAGAAGGGUGAGCUGUGUACCUUAUGUAAUACUACUGUGUUGUAAUAAAGCAAGUGUUUUGUAAGUGUUA
Molecule: long non-coding RNA, 738 nt
Organism: Panicum virgatum (switchgrass)
Lineage: Eukaryota; Viridiplantae; Streptophyta; Magnoliopsida; Poales; Poaceae
Exons: 2
Source: RefSeq, a predicted model, not a curated record